CCUACGGGAUGCAGCAGUGAGGAAUAUUGGUCAAUGGCCGCAGGGCUGAACCAGCCAAGUCGCGUGAGGGAUGAAGGUCCUAUGGAUUGUAAACCUCUUUUAUCAGGGAACAAAGGGUGCCACGUGUGGCGCUUUGUGAGUACCUUACGAAAAAGGAUAGGCUAACUCCGUGCCAGCAGCCGCGGUAAUACUGAGGAUGCGAGCUUUAUCCGGAUUUGUUGGGUUUAAAGGGUACGAAGGCGGCAUGUCAAGUCAGGGGUAAAAUUGCGGGGCUCAACACCGGCGUGACGUUGAUACUGGCAUUCUUGAGUGAGCUAGAGGUAUGCGGAAUGCGUGGUGUAGCGGUGAAAUGCAUAGAUAUCACGCAGAACUCCGAUUGCGAAGGCAGCCUACCGAGGCUUGACUGACGCUGAUGCACGAAAGCGUGGGGAUCAAACAGGAUUAGAUACCCGAGUAGUC
Molecule: ribosomal RNA, 459 nt
Filed under: uncultured bacterium
Lineage: Bacteria
Description: partial 16S ribosomal RNA
Rfam family: Bacterial small subunit ribosomal RNA
Source: RNAcentral